RNAcentral lists this ribosomal RNA (728 nucleotides) under uncultured Glomeromycotina. RNAcentral describes it as "SSU rRNA". It matches the Rfam family "Eukaryotic small subunit ribosomal RNA", at positions 373 to 1102 of the family's 1831-position model. Lineage: Eukaryota; Fungi; Glomeromycota. The record is from RNAcentral.
GGGCACGACACCGGAGAGGGAGCCUGAGAAACGGCUACCACAUNNAAGGAUGGCAGCAGGCGCGCAAAUUACCCAAUCCCGACACGGGGAGGUAGUGACAAUAAAUAACAAUACGGGGUUCUUUUGGAUCUCGUAAUUGGAAUGAGUACAAUUUAAAUCUCUUAACGAGGAACAAUUGGAGGGCAAGUCUGGUGCCAGCAGCCGCGGUAAUUCCAGCUCCAAUAGCGUAUAUUAAAGUUGUUGCAGUUAAAAAGCUCGUAGUUGAAUUUCGGGGUUAGUAGGUUGGUCAUGCCUCUGGUAUGUACUGGUCUCACUGAUUCCUCCUUCCUUAUGAACCGUAAUGCCAUUAAUUUGGUGUUGCGGGGAAUUUGGACUGUUACUUUGAAAAAAUUAGAGUGUUUAAAGCAAGCUAACGCUUGAAUACAUUAGCAUGGAAUAAUGAAAUAGGACGUUCGAUCUUAUUUUGUUGGUUUCUAGGAUUGACGUAAUGAUUAAUAGGGAUAGUUGGGGGCAUUAGUAUUCAAUUGUCAGAGGUGAAAUUCUUGGAUUUAUUGAAGACUAACUACUGCGAAAGCAUUUGCCAAGGAUGUUUUCAUUAAUCAAGAACGAAAGUUAGGGGAUCGAAGACGAUCAGAUACCGUCGUAGUCUUAACCAUAAACUAUGCCGACUAGGGAUCGGAUGAUGUUAAUUUUUUAAUGACUCAUUCGGCGCCUUACGGGAACCNAAA